CGGGGGGCAGCAGUGGGGAAUCUUGCGCAAUGGGCGAAAGCCUGACGCAGCAACGCCGCGUGCGGGAUGAAGGCCUUCGGGUUGUAAACCGCUUUUAACAGGAACGAAAAUGACGGUACCUGUAGAAUAAGGUGCGGCCAACUACGUGCCAGCAGCCGCGGUGACACGUAGGCACCAAGCGUUGUCCGGAUUUAUUGGGCGUAAAGAGCUCGUAGGCGGUUCAGUAAGUCGGGUGUGAAAACUCUGGGCUUAACCCAGAGACGCCACUCGAUACUACUGUGACUAGAGUUCGGUAGGGGAGCGGGGAAUUCCUAGUGUAGCGGUGAAAUGCGCAGAUAUUAGGAGGAACACCGGUGGCGAAGGCGCCGCUCUGGGCCGAUACUGACGCUGAGGAGCGAAAGCGUGGGUAGCAAACAGGAUUAGAUACCCGAGU
RNAcentral lists this ribosomal RNA (433 nucleotides) under uncultured Acidimicrobiales bacterium. Its description in RNAcentral is "bacterial SSU rRNA". It matches the Rfam family "Bacterial small subunit ribosomal RNA", at positions 342 to 791 of the family's 1533-position model. Lineage: Bacteria; Bacillati; Actinomycetota; Acidimicrobiia; Acidimicrobiales. The record is from RNAcentral.